AUUCGUAGGGAACGAGCGUUGUCCGGAAUUACUGGGUGUAAAGGGAGCGUAGGCGGGAUGGCAAGUCAGAUGUGAAAACUAUGGGCUCAACCCAUAGACUGCAUUUGAAACUGUUGUUCUUGAGUGAAGUAGAGGUAAGCGGAAUUCCUGGUGUAGCGGUGAAAUGCGUAGAUAUCAGGAGGAACAUCGGUGGCGAAGGCGGCUUACUGGGCUUUUACUGACGCUGAGGCUCGAAAGCGUGGGGAGCAAACAGGAUUAGAUACCCUGGUAGUCCACGCUGUAAACGAUGAUUACUAGGUGUGGGGGGACUGACCCCUUCCGUGCCGCAGUUAACACAAUAAGUAAUCCACCUGGGGAGUACGGCCGCAAGGUUGAAACUCAAAUGAAUUGACGGGG
Molecule: ribosomal RNA, 396 nt
Filed under: uncultured bacterium
Lineage: Bacteria
Description: partial 16S ribosomal RNA
Rfam family: Bacterial small subunit ribosomal RNA
Source: RNAcentral